RNAcentral lists this ribosomal RNA (656 nucleotides) under Liolaemus kriegi. Its description in RNAcentral is "partial 12S ribosomal RNA". It matches the Rfam family "Bacterial small subunit ribosomal RNA", at positions 317 to 1019 of the family's 1533-position model. The record is from RNAcentral. Lineage: Eukaryota; Metazoa; Chordata; Lepidosauria; Squamata.
GACAAAUAAAUUUCCCCAAAAACACAAAGUUUUGGUCCUAAACUUGCCGUUGUUUUUAAUCAAAAUUACACAUGCAAGCAUCCGCACACCAGUGAGAAUGCCCUAUAAAGUACCAAGGAGCAGGUAUCAGGCACAACCAAUUAGCCCAAGACACCUUGCUAUGCCACACCCACACGGGCACCCAGCAGUGAUAAAUAUUAAGCAAUGAGUGAACAACCAAUUCAAAGCUCGACUUAGUUAUGAAUACAAGGGCCGGUCAACCUCGUGCCAGCCACCGCGGUUAUACGAGGGGCCCAAAACAUCGGACAUCGGCGUAAAUUAUGGCUAGAGAAACCACUUACAACAUGGGAAAUAAACACAAACCCAACCGUAAAACCCGGGACAAAAGAAACUUAAAUUCCCAAUUACAAAGUAACUUGAAUCCAUGAAGACUAAGAAACAAACUAGGAUUAGAUACCCUACUAUGCUUAGUUGUUAACACGACAUUAAACAACACUAAUGUCCGCCAGAGGAUUACGCGCGAAAAGCUUAAAACUCAAAGGACUUGGCGGUGCUCCGUAUUCGCCUUAGAGGAGCCUGUCCUAUAAUCGAUACUCCACGCUUUACCUCACCAUCUUUUGUAAAACAGCCUAUAUACCGCCGUCGCAAACUUACCC